This 279-nucleotide long non-coding RNA is filed under the name Bos taurus (domestic cattle). RNAcentral's name for it is "long non-coding RNA NONBTAT016586". Lineage: Eukaryota; Metazoa; Chordata; Mammalia; Artiodactyla; Bovidae. The record is from RNAcentral.
UAAAAUGCAAUUAGAAUAUAUAAUAUUCAGACCAAAACGUGGGAUAUCGUUCCCACUUUAGGGAUAGUGCUUCUAGGCUAAGAAAUGUACAUCCUGUAUUUAGAGUGUAUUUAAAUAAUUUAGACACAGAACAUGUUUAAAUUCCAAGAUGGAAUUCAUUUUUAAAAUGCCCUGACAUUUCAUGGGGUCAUUUUCUUUUAAAAACAUACUGAGCUUUAGGAAGGAAAUGAGCAUGAUGAUAACUUUUGAAUCAUCCUUUAGAAAGGAACAUGGUGAUGG